GAUGAACGCUGGCGGCGUGCCUAAUACAUGCAAGUCGAGCGAACGGACGAGAAGUUUGCUUCUCUGAUGUUAGCGGCGGACGGGUGAGUAACGCGUGGAUAACCUACCUAUAAGACUGGGAUAACUUCGGGAAACCGGAGCUAAUACCGGAUAAUAUUUUGAACCGCAUGGUUCAAAAGUGAAAGACGGUCUUGCUGUCACUUAUAGAUGGAUCCGCGCUGCAUUAGCUAGUUGGUAAGGUAACGGCUUACCAAGGCAACGAUGCAUAGCCGACCUCAGAGGGUGAUCCGCCACACUGGAACUGAGACACGGUCCAGACUCCUACGGGAGGCAGCAGUAGGGAAUCUUCCGCAAUGGGCGAAAGCCUGACGGAGCAACGCCGCGUGAGUGAUGAAGGUCUUCGGAUCGUAAAACUCUGUUAUUAGGGAAGAACAUAUGUGUAAGUAACUGUGCACAUCUUGACGGUACCUAAUCAGAAAGCCACGGCUAACUACGUG
This 497-nucleotide ribosomal RNA is filed under the name uncultured bacterium. RNAcentral describes it as "partial 16S ribosomal RNA". It matches the Rfam family "Bacterial small subunit ribosomal RNA", at positions 28 to 507 of the family's 1533-position model. The record is from RNAcentral.